RNAcentral lists this microRNA precursor (110 nucleotides) under Pelobates cultripes (western spadefoot toad). Lineage: Eukaryota; Metazoa; Chordata; Amphibia; Anura; Pelobatidae. The record is from RNAcentral.
GAAACAAGAAAGUGGAGACAACGUUUCGGCUCCUCUCUGAGCCUUUAUAAAGUCUUUGACUUGGUAAAGACUCAAAAAGGAGCCGAAACGUUGUCUCCUCUUUCUUGUUU